RNAcentral lists this ribosomal RNA (644 nucleotides) under uncultured Actinomycetes bacterium. RNAcentral describes it as "bacterial SSU rRNA". It matches the Rfam family "Bacterial small subunit ribosomal RNA", at positions 232 to 885 of the family's 1533-position model. The record is from RNAcentral. Lineage: Bacteria; Bacillati; Actinomycetota; Actinomycetes.
CGCGGCCUAUCAGCUUGUUGGUGAGGUAACGGCCCACCAAGGCGACGACGGGUAGCUGGUCUGAGAGGACGACCAGCCACACUGGAACUGAGAUACGGUCCAGACUCCUACGGGAGGCAGCAGUGGGGAAUAUUGCACAAUGGGCGAAAGCCUGAUGCAGCGACGCCGCGUGAGGGAUGAAGGCCUUCGGGUUGUAAACCUCUUUCGGCAGGGACGAAGCGAUCAGUGACGGUACCUGCAGAAGAAGCCCCGGCUAACUACGUGCCAGCAGCCGCGGUAAGACGUAGGGGGCGAGCGUUGUCCGGAUUCAUUGGGCGUAAAGCGCGCGUAGGCGGCUGCGCAAGUCGGGUGUGAAACCCCGGGGCUCAACCCCGGAACUGCAUCCGAUACUGCGUGGCUAGAGGUAGGUAGGGGAGAUCGGAAUUCCUGGUGUAGCGGUGAAAUGCGCAGAUAUCAGGAGGAACACCGGUGGCGAAGGCGGAUCUCUGGGCCUUACCUGACGCUCAGGCGCGAAAGCUAGGGGAGCGAACAGGAUUAGAUACCCUGGUAGUCCUAGCCGUAAACGUUGGGUGCUAGGUGUGGGCGGAUAUCGACCCCGUCCGUGCCGAAGCUAACGCAUUAAGCACCCCGCCUGGGGAGUACGG